This 253-nucleotide ribosomal RNA is filed under the name uncultured bacterium. RNAcentral describes it as "partial 16S ribosomal RNA". It matches the Rfam family "Bacterial small subunit ribosomal RNA", at positions 524 to 776 of the family's 1533-position model. The record is from RNAcentral.
UACGAAGGGGGCUAGCGUUGCUCGGAAUCACUGGGCGUAAAGCGCACGUAGGCGGCUUGUUAAGUCAGGGGUGAAAUCCUGGAGCUCAACUCCAGAACUGCCUUUGAUACUGGCGAUCUCGAGUCCGGGAGAGGUGAGUGGAACUGCGAGUGUAGAGGUGAAAUUCGUAGAUAUUCGCAAGAACACCAGUGGCGAAGGCGGCUCACUGGCCCGGUACUGACGCUGAGGUGCGAAAGCGUGGGGAGCAAACAGG